UGAGUCUCCUGGGCUCUCUAGCACUUUCCCCUGAGGGAAGGAGGCAGGGAGCUUCUCUUCAGAGGCCAUUGCAGCUUACUCACGGGAUGGCCUAAGACGUCUGAGCUCUGGGUCAAGAACACUGAAAGUCACACGUCCCAAUAGGCACCCCACACUCUGGAAGGCCCCCUUCUGUCUGUGGCCUCUUCACGGGCCCAGGACCUUCCCUUUUCAGAUCUCACGGUUGAAUUCUCUGCCUGAAUGUCCCUGGCUUCCGGGCGUCCUGCCUGGGCCCCUGGUGUGCCUACACCUUGGCUGAGCAGCUAGGGAUGGGGGUGUGCAGGCUGCAGUGUCCACAGGUGUGCACAGGGCCCCUCACGAUGUGGACCAGGCGGGGAUGCAAGAGAAGGGGAACAGGCUGGGGGCCGGGACCCUCUGCUGAAAUCCUGACCUGGACGCAGCAGACGUCGGCAGCGGGUGGGCCCAGUCUGGGGGACUGACACCGGCUGCCCAUUGGGGAAAACUGUGUGUGUGGUCUCCAUCCUUGUUGUGAGCGUUGUUGUGCAACGUGAGAACCAAUGGCGGGGAGACCAGCGGACGCCCACCCGUGAUGACGAGCCCGCUCUGGGUGCCCGUGCCGUUAGGAUGGACCGUUUGCUAGAUUGGAGUCGGGUUCACAAGGGAUCUUCCCAGUCUCCUUUUUUUUUUUUUUUUUUUGGAAAUCAAAGAUGUAGUAGGGUUGUGCUUUGACAUCGCCACUGUUUUGAGAUAGCGUUGUUUUUCUUUAUAAUGACUCUCUCACUAUAAGAUGUGAGACCAUUAUUGAUUCAGCUGGCCUUGACAUCAGCCCUUGUUUUCUGAUGCCCUCACUCUCCCUCCCAAGUCCCUUGAGGUCUUGGAGGGCAGCUGUGUACUUUUCUCUCCUUUUACUUGGAAUCACUAUCCGUGGAAAUAAUUGCUGGGCACGUUAUGGAAUAGAAAGUGAAGAACAACGGAGUUGUAUGCUAUAGAAAUGGGAUCAUCUCAUUUUCAUUUGAAAGCUACCCCAGGGGCACAUUGCUCUGCCUCGAGAAUCCCUCCACGUUCACCCCUUGCUCGUGGAGAGGCUGUAAGGUCAGGCAGGCCAGCCUGGGGAUGCCCAGCACCUAGCUUGGACCCUUUGGCUGAGGCAGUUCUCAGCUGCCCACACCGUGUGUGUGUGUGUGUGUGUGUGUGUGUGUGUGGGGUGGGGGAGGG
RNAcentral lists this long non-coding RNA (1215 nucleotides) under Felis catus (domestic cat). RNAcentral describes it as "lncRNA (ENSFCAG00000049106.1)". Lineage: Eukaryota; Metazoa; Chordata; Mammalia; Carnivora; Felidae. The record is from RNAcentral.